This 449-nucleotide ribosomal RNA is filed under the name uncultured bacterium. Its description in RNAcentral is "bacterial SSU rRNA". It matches the Rfam family "Bacterial small subunit ribosomal RNA", at positions 29 to 526 of the family's 1533-position model. The record is from RNAcentral.
AACGAACGCUGGCGGCAUGCCUAACACAUGCAAGUCGAACGAGACCUUCGGGUCUAGUGGCGCACGGGUGCGUAACGCGUGGGAACCUGCCUUUAGGUUCGGAAUAACUCAGAGAAAUUUGAGCUAAUACCGGAUAAUGUCUUCGGACCAAAGAUUUAUCGCCUUUAGAUGGGCCCGCGUUGGAUUAGCUAGUUGGUGGGGUAAAGCCUACCAAGGCGACGAUCCAUAGCUGGUCUGAGAGGAUGAUCAGCCACACUGGGACUGAGACACGGCCCAGACUCCUACGGGAGGCAGCAGUGGGGAAUAUUGGACAAUGGGCGAAAGCCUGAUCCAGCAAUGCCGCGUGAGUGAUGAAGGCCUUAGGGUGUAAGCUNUUUUACCCGAGAUGAUAAUGACAGUAUCGGGAGAAUAAGCUUCGGCUAACUCCGUGCCAGCAGCCGCGGUAAAGU